ACUUUUAAAGGAUGGUAGUUAUCCAUUUGUCCUAGGAACCAAAAAAUUGGUGCAACUCCAAAUAAAAGUA
RNAcentral lists this transfer RNA (70 nucleotides) under Ovis ammon (argali). RNAcentral describes it as "tRNA-Leu". The record is from RNAcentral. Lineage: Eukaryota; Metazoa; Chordata; Mammalia; Artiodactyla; Bovidae.